AACGAACGCUGGCGGCAUGCCUAACACAUGCAAGUCGAACGAAGGCUUCGGCCUUAGUGGCGCACGGGUGCGUAACGCGUGGGAAUCUGCCCUUUGCUUCGGAAUAACAGUUAGAAAUGACUGCUAAUACCGGAUGAUGUCGCAAGACCAAAGAUUUAUCGGCAAAGGAUGAGCCCGCGUAGGAUUAGCUAGUUGGUGGGGUAAAGGCCUACCAAGGCGACGAUCCUUAGCUGGUCUGGGAGGAUGAUCAGCCACACUGGGACUGAGACACGGCCCAGACUCCUACGGGAGGCAGCAGUGGGGAAUAUUGGACAAUGGGCGAAAGCCUGAUCCAGCAAUGCCGCGUGAGUGAUGAAGGCCUUAGGGUUGUAAAGCUCUUUUACCCGGGAUGAUAAUGACAGUACCGGGAGAAUAAGCUCCGGCUAACUCCGUG
This 433-nucleotide ribosomal RNA is filed under the name uncultured bacterium. RNAcentral's name for it is "partial 16S ribosomal RNA". It matches the Rfam family "Bacterial small subunit ribosomal RNA", at positions 29 to 507 of the family's 1533-position model. The record is from RNAcentral.